Molecule: long non-coding RNA, 620 nt
Filed under: Marmota monax (woodchuck)
Lineage: Eukaryota; Metazoa; Chordata; Mammalia; Rodentia; Sciuridae
Source: RNAcentral
AGUCUCUGAGGGGCUAAAAUGAAUUGCAUCCCUCUCCCUCAUCCAACUUCCAAACAAUUUGAGAAAUAAAAGUAGUACUGGUUUGAACCUAAAAUAUCAUUUUGAUUACUUACCAGGAAUAGUGGGCUGAUGUGGCUUUAGGUCUAUGUAUCAAAUGGGCUUAAUGACACCUCACAAUUAGGCAGAACCCCAAGUGCCCCUUCACAUCCUCACCUGGCUGCACAUCUUCAGGUCAGAGCCCCUGGAGGGCCGGGGAGAUCUCAGGCUCCCUGCAGGCAGCAUAUGCCAAGAGGAAAACGGACCCGACUGAGGUGACCAAACCCAGUGAUUCUUUUCAAAUAUACUAAAGGGCUGAAUGAGUGAAGGGGCAGAGAAAACCCAAGGAUGGGCUUAGAAAAAUACCCUCCUGAACACAGGUAAGGGGAAAGAUACUCCUUUCUGAAAAUGAGGAUGACUAAGAGGAAGUUUAAAAAUAAUCCCUCAUGGCAGAUCAUUAACAUAGUCUGUUAAGAGGAUGGUCAGGGUGAAAGAGCUCUGGAGGUACUUGAGGAUGCAAAGGAAGGCUGGGUUUAGUACAGGCGGAGCCUCGUAACAACACUGAAAGAUGUGGGCUUUUCUCU